This 487-nucleotide ribosomal RNA is filed under the name uncultured bacterium. RNAcentral describes it as "bacterial SSU rRNA". It matches the Rfam family "Bacterial small subunit ribosomal RNA", at positions 37 to 507 of the family's 1533-position model. The record is from RNAcentral.
GAACGCGUGGCGGCAUGACUUAACACAUGACAAGUCGACGGUAACAGGUCUAGCUUGCUAGAUGCUGACGAGUGGCGGACGGGUGAGUAACGCGUGGGAAUCUGCCUUCUAGUGGGGGAUAGCCCGGAGAAAUCCGGAUUAAUACCGCAUACGCCCUACGGGGGAAAGCCGGGGAUCUUCGGACCUGGCGCUAGUAGAUGAGCCCGCGUGAGAUUAGCUUGUUGGUGGGGUAAUGGCCUACCAAGGCAACGAUCUCUAGCUGGUCUGAGAGGACGAUCAGCCACACUGGGACUGAGACACGGCCCAGACUCCUACGGGAGGCAGCAGUGGGGAAUAUUGGACAAUGGGCGAAAGCCUGAUCCAGCAAUGCCGCGUGUGUGAAGAAGGCCUGAGGGUUGUAAAGCACUUUCAAUCGUGAAGAAAAGUUGCAGGCUAAUACCCUGUGACCUUGACGUUAACGAUACAAGAAGCACCGGCUAACUCCGUG